GUACUGUUAUACCACUGUCCCAGGUUAGGGGGAGGGUUGGGAUCCCGCUAACAUGUUUAACCCUGCCACAUUAUUUAUGUAUGUGCCUGUCCCAAGUCAGGAGCCUGUAAAUUCAGUGGUUGUCGUUUGUUUAUGUGUUACAUAUUUGUUUUUCGUUCAUUUUUUUACAUAAAUAAGGCCGUUAGUUUUCUCGUUUGAAUUGUUUUACAUUGUCUUAUCGGGGCCUUUUAUAGCUGACUAUGCGGUAUGGGCUUUGCUCAUUGUUGAAGGCCGUACGGUGACCUAUAGUUGUUAAUGUCACUGUCAUUUUGGUCUUUUGUGGAUAGUUGUCUCAUUGGCAAUCAUACCACAUCUUCUUUUUU
RNAcentral lists this long non-coding RNA (362 nucleotides) under Mytilus galloprovincialis (Mediterranean mussel). Lineage: Eukaryota; Metazoa; Mollusca; Bivalvia; Mytilida; Mytilidae. The record is from RNAcentral.